Molecule: small nuclear RNA, 106 nt
Filed under: Procavia capensis (Cape rock hyrax)
Lineage: Eukaryota; Metazoa; Chordata; Mammalia; Hyracoidea; Procaviidae
Source: RNAcentral
GCACCAGUUUCAGCAGCACAUAUUUUAAAAUUGGAACAACGCAGAGAAGAUUAGCACGUCCCUGCACAAGGAUGACAUGCAGAUUCAUGAACUGUUCUAUAUUAAA